This 440-nucleotide ribosomal RNA is filed under the name uncultured bacterium. RNAcentral's name for it is "partial 16S ribosomal RNA". It matches the Rfam family "Bacterial small subunit ribosomal RNA", at positions 338 to 795 of the family's 1533-position model. The record is from RNAcentral.
CCUACGGGAGGCAGCAGUGGGGAAUAUUGCACAAUGGGGGAAACCCUGAUCCAGCGACGCCGCGUGAGUGAGGAAGGAUUUCGGUAUGUAAAGCUCUAUCAGCAGGGAAGAAAAUGACGGUACCUGUCUAAGAAGCCCCGGCUAACUACGUGCCAGCAGCCGCGGUAAUACGUCGGGGGCCAGCGUUAUCCGGAUUUACUGGGGUUAAAGGGAGUGUAGGCGGGAAAGCAAGUCAGAAGUGAAAACCCAGGGCUCAACCUUUGGACUGCUUUUGAAACUGUGUAGCUAGAGUGCAGGAGAGGGAAGCGGAAUUCCUAGGGUAGCGGUGAAAUGCGUAGAUAUUAGGAGGAACACCAGUGGCGAAGGCGGCUUACUGGCCUGUAACUGACGUUGAGGCUCGAAAGCGUGGGGAGCAAACAGGAUUAGAUACCCCAGUAGUC